UAGGGAAUAUUGGACAAUGGGGGCAACCCUGAUCCAGCCAUGCCGCGUGAGUGAAGAAGGCCCUCGGGUUGUAAAGCUCUUUUGUCCGGAAAGAAAAGCUUCGGGUUAAUACCCCGGGGUUCUGACGGUACCGGAAGAGUAAGCACCGGCUAACUUCGUGCCAGCAGCCGCGGUAAUACGAAGGGUGCAAGCGUUACUCGGAAUUACUGGGCGUAAAGCGUGCGUAGGUGGUUGUUUAAGUCUGAUGUGAAAGCCCUGGGCUCAACCUGGGAAUGGCAUUGGAAACUGGGCAGCUAGAGUGCGGUAGAGGGUAGUGGAAUUCCCGGUGUAGCAGUGAAAUGCGUAGAGAUCGGGAGGAACAUCUGUGGCGAAGGCGACUGCCUGGACCAGCACUGACACUGAGGCACGAAAGCGUGGGGAGCAAACA
Molecule: ribosomal RNA, 427 nt
Filed under: uncultured bacterium
Lineage: Bacteria
Description: bacterial SSU rRNA
Rfam family: Bacterial small subunit ribosomal RNA
Source: RNAcentral